GGAGGGAAGCAUGAUUAUGACUGGUAAAAUCUUGGAAUCUCACAUCAUUAAUCACAUGUUAAAGUUCAGAUCUAUAUUAAUCUCUUCCUCCCCAUGAAUUGCCAUCGUGUUAGAUAUAAAUUCGUUUUGUCAUCUGAUCUUAUUCAUAUUCGAAGUAUGCCAGCAUAGAUUGAAAUCCUUUGCCAAUAUUUUACACGUUUUAGAUUGUGGUUAUCUGUUACAUGCAUUAAUUGACCACAGGAUACUAAAAUUUGUUCCAAGAUCGCUGGAAGUUUGAACAAUGCCUUUUGCCACGUUAUUUAAAGAUCUUAAUAGAAUGAAAAUAAUUUGGAA
Molecule: unclassified non-coding RNA, 333 nt
Filed under: Hevea brasiliensis (rubber tree)
Lineage: Eukaryota; Viridiplantae; Streptophyta; Magnoliopsida; Malpighiales; Euphorbiaceae
Source: RNAcentral